AGAGUUUGAUCCUGGCUCAGGAUGAACGCUAGCGGCAGGCUUAACACAUGCAAGUCGAGGGGCAGCGGGGAGGAAGCUUGCUUUCUCCGCCGGCGACCGGCGCACGGGUGAGUAACACGUAUGCAACCUGCCCUGUCAGGGGGACAACCCGCCGAAAGGCGGGCUAAACCCGCGUACAUGCCACCGGGGCAUCCCGGAGGCAGGAAAGGCUUCGGCCGGACAGGGAUGGGCAUGCGGCGCAUUAGGCAGUAGGCGGGGUAACGGCCCACCUAACCGACGAUGCGUAGGGGUUCUGAGAGGAAGGUCCCCCACACUGGUACUGAGACACGGACCAGACUCCUACGGGAGGCAGCAGUGAGGAAUAUUGGUCAAUGGUCGGGAGACUGAACCAGCCAAGCCGCGUGAGGGAGGAAGGUACAGAGUAUCGUAAACCUCUUUUGUCAGGGAACAAAGGCGGGGACGUGUCCCCGGAUGAGUGUACCUGAAGAAAAAGCAUCGGCUAACUCCGUGCCAGCAGCCGCGGUAAUACGGAGGAUGCGAGCGUUAUCCGGAUUUAUUGGGUUUAAAGGGUGCGCAGGCGGUCUGUUAAGUCAGCGGUCAAAGCCCGGGGCUCAACCCCGGCCCGCCGUUGAAACUGGCAGUCUCGAGUUGGAGAGAAGUAUGCGGAAUGCGCGGUGUAGCGGUGAAAUGCAUAGAUAUCGCGCAGAACUCCGAUUGCGAAGGCAGCAUGCCGGCUCCACACUGACGCUGAGGCACGAAAGCGUGGGUAUCGAACAGGAUUAGAUACCCUGGUAGUCCACGCAGUAAACGAUGAAUGCUGGCUGUCCGGGGGGACUGACCCCUGGGUGGCGAAGCGAAAGCGAUAAGCAUUCCACCUGGGGAGUACGCCGGCAACGGUGAAACUCAAAGGAAUUGACGGGGGCCCGCACAAGCGGAGGAACAUGUGGUUUAAUUCGAUGAUACGCGAGGAACCUUACCCGGGCUCAAACGGGGAGUGACUCAGGCAGAGACGCCUGUUUCCCACGGGACACUCCCCGAGGUGCUGCAUGGUUGUCGUCAGCUCGUGCCGUGAGGUGUCGGCUUAAGUGCCAUAACGAGCGCAACCCCCGCGUGCAGUUGCUAACAGAUAACGCUGAGGACUCUGCACGGACUGCCGGCGCAAGCCGCGAGGAAGGCGGGGAUGACGUCAAAUCAGCACGGCCCUUACGUCCGGGGCGACACACGUGUUACAAUGGGUGGUACAGCGGGAAGCCAGGCGGCGACGCCGAGCGGAACCCGAAAUCCACUCUCAGUUCGGAUCGGAGUCUGCAACCCGACUCCGUGAAGCUGGAUUCGCUAGUAAUCGCGCAUCAGCCAUGGCGCGGUGAAUACGUACCCGGGCCUUGCACACACCGCCCGUCAAG
Molecule: ribosomal RNA, 1403 nt
Filed under: uncultured bacterium
Lineage: Bacteria
Description: partial 16S ribosomal RNA
Rfam family: Bacterial small subunit ribosomal RNA
Source: RNAcentral